CCCAGAUGAGCAUAUCUGAAACAGAGAGAUUAGUUAAUGCUUUCUUCUGCUGAUUUAGUGUGAACAUAUCCAAGAGAGCCGAGGCACUCCAGAUGGCAGGCAGCAAAAAUAGCUAAGAAAGAUGAUGUGUGUUAACUGUUUCUUAAUGACACCACUGGUUCACUGGGGGGAAGAGGGAGAAGGCAGCUUCUCUAUGUGCUGACUGGCUUCAGGGGCAAGACAGAGAUCUCUUCACCUGGUUCUCAGGAUCCACCUGGGUGAGAAAUCCCACCCGCAACAAAUGGAAAAAAACUGCUCUUCUAUCCAUGUCAUUAAUACGGUUUCUUCUUUUCUUUCUCCUUCUCCUGCUUCUUCUCCUCCUUUUCCUUGUUUUUAUUAUUAUUAUUAGUUUUGGCUUUUAAUUAAUAAGAACUUCAUGGGUCAGGCACCGUUUCAAACUUGGCUUGGCAUCAUCAAAAAAGUCUACAAGUGAUAAACACUGGAGAGUGUGUGGAGGAAAGGAACCCUCCUACACUGUUUGUGGGAAUGUAAAUUAGUGCGCCCACUAUGGAAAAAAGUGUGGAGCUUCCUUAAAAAACUAAAAAUGAAGCUACGAUAUGACCUAGCAAUCUCAUUCCUGGGCAUCUAUCUGAUGAGAAAACUCUAAUUCAAAAAGAUAUAUGCAUCCCAGUGUUCACAGCAGUUCUAUUUACAAUAGCCAAGACAUGGAAGCAACUUAAAUGUCCAUGAUAGAGGACUGGGUAAAGAAGAUGUGGUCCAUAUAUACAAUGGAAUAUUACUCAGCCAAAAAAAAAAAGAACAGUGCCAUUUGCAGCCACAUGGAAGGACCUAGAGAUUAUCAUAAUAAGUGAAGUAAAUCAGACAGAGAAAGAUGUCCCUUAUACGUGGACUCCUAAAACUGAUACAAAUGAAAACACAAACAGACCUCAGAUAUAGAAAAACAAAAUUACAGUUGCCAAAGGGGAAAGGGAGGGGGCUAUAAAUUAGGAGUUUGGGAUUAACAUACACUACUAUAUAUAAUCAAUGAAGACCUACUGUAUAGCACACGGAACUACAUUCAAUACCUUGUAGUAACGAGAACAUAAAAGAAUCUGAAAUAGAAUCUAUAUUUAUAUGUAUAUAUAUAACUGAAUUACUUUGCUGUACACCAGAAAUGAUCGCAAGGUCGAAAAUCCACUGGUUCAAGAAAAAAAAGAAGCGUAUUGCCUUGGGAGCCAGACAUCCUGGAUUCCAAUCUUAUUUGUGUGACUUUCAGAAAGUGAGUACUCUGGGACCAUUUGCCUGUAACGUGGACAUGAUGUCACCACCUCCCUUGGAGGUAGCUAGGGCUUGCAUGAGAUAAUGUACAUGAAGCACUUAGAAGAAUGCCUAGGACAUACCAAGUCCUCAACAGUAUUGGCACCCUCUCCCAAGACAAUUUCCAACCUCUACAGAUAGGAAAAAGGAAGGUUCCAGAUGUUAAGGAGCAUACCCAAGGUCACACGACUCAAGUUUGCAGACAGAUUUCAAUCUUACUCCUGAGAUCCUAUGACACCACCCCAGGCAGGAGACCCUCCUUCAGGAGAGCACGCCCCCUUGAGGAACGAGUAGACAAUUCAGGAGAAGAAGAUAAUCAUCAAUCCUCAGAACAGGGACAUGUCACUAGAAGGGAAAUUCAGAAACCAAAGCAUGGCCAGGCCCAUGUGACUUUUCCUUCUAUUAAAAAGGAAAGCUAACAGACAAAAUAACUGCCUUUGGGAGGACGGCAGAGAAAUAUUUUGGACAAGUAAUCUAAAUCUUUAAAUCACAAUAGUAACCAAUAAUACUUACCGACUCCCUACUAUUCGACAGGUAUUGGUUAAAUGCCUUGUAUCAUGCAUCAACAUCAGGUAUUCAUAUCAUGUCGUGUAUCAUGUAUCAAUAUUUUUUAUCCUCACAGUGACUCAAAGUCUGUUCUGUCAUUAUCCCCACUUUAGCCAUAAGGGAACUGGGGCACAGGCACUAUAAACAACGUACCCAGAGGCACAUGUUAGAAAGUGGAGUGCUCAACUGUGAACUCGGGCAGCCAGGAGCCGGAGGCCUGCGCCUCACCGUGGCUCUCUCCUGGCCCUGGUCGUCCAGGCUUCACUUGAUAGCUUCCAAGGCAGAGGUUCUCAAACCUGAGCAAGCAUCUAUGCCACCUGGACAGCCUGACAGACAGAGAAGGUUGGAACCCAGCCCAAGAGGUCCUGAUUCAUCAGGUCUGGGGCUGGGCUCAAGAAUCUGCAUUUCUAACAACCUUCCAUGGGAUGCUCAUGUGGCUGGUUUGGGAGCCACACUUUAAGAGCCACUGGUUAAUUAGAAUUCAGAACCUGAGUCAGAGUCACAGAAAAGUGGUUUGGGUCCAAGACGCACCACUGGGUAGUUGUGCGACACCAAGCAAGUCACUUAAAACCUUUGAGCUUCGGUUUCCUUAUCUGCUCUGCGGGGGUCUAAGUCAUUACUGUCUUAUUGACUAUAUAAAUAGUCAUUAAAAGGAUGCAGUUAAUAAAACCCAUCUCCUAGUGCUGUCAUGGAGAUUAAAUAAAAUACCAGUAUAAAGUACCUAGUAAGUAGCCUGGAACACAAUAAUAGCUCUCACAUGGUGGUAAAUAAAUAAAUUUGUCACAAAAUUAUUAGUCCUUCCUGUGUACACAGCAUGGGGAGAGAGAGAUAAAGCCACAUUUCCUGUCUGGGACAAGUGAACUGAAGGACUGAAAAAAUCCAAGAAGAAGCACAGAUGCAUAGACAGAUGCACACACCGUCCCCAGGACAUGCAUACUCAUGAACACACACACACACACACACACACACACACCACCCCACAUACACACCCCCCAAACAAUACAAACACAAAGUAAAUCAUAGAGCUGUGAUUCACCCACCCGAGCAUCUGCAGAGCACUAAGGGCCUUGGAGAAUGGAGACAGACUUACAGUGGGGCAAAUUAUGAGAGGUUUGUGGAGAUAGGACCAUGACAGGCUGCUUUUACAGUGUCUAGGCAUACUGCUCUAUUUCUUUCUUUUUUUUUUUUCUUUAAAAAGAAAGGUUGAGUGCCCACUAUGUGGCAGGCUCUGUGUUUAGUAUUUUGCAUUUCCUCUUCACACUCCCCUCCCCCCUCCCCCCCUCCCCCGCUGCCACCUCCAGCUGGCUGGCAGGUGGACAUCACUCUUCCCCUUUGACAGAUAAGCAAACAGGUCUGGCAUGCUUCGGCAAUUUGCCUUACAUCCACCAUGUGCAUGUGUAUGCCGCCCAGGUGUUGGGGGUGGAGAGUGGGGAGGACAGGAAGUUGUUCUCUUGCACUUGAACCCCAGGGAAGGAUCCUGUCAUUCUGCCCCAUGAUUUCCUCUAGAGGUGUGUUAGCAAGCUGAGCUCUGAAACUUCUAAUUCACCAUCCCCUUCCUUUAAAGAACGUUCCCCCCGAGGAAGGCAGAGAAGAUGUAAAUGCACAUACCAAAAUGAGCUUGGAACAUCUGAAGCAAAGCUGGGCGAGUUCCAGGGCAUCUUGAUGAGAUGCCGUCUGGGGCCCCGGGGACAGCCGCCUCCUUUAAUGACUCCCAGCCCAGCUCAGCUCGAGGCUCCCUCUGCAACGCCCGCGCCUCUCCGCUUCCUUCUUCAGAACAUGCCAGCGUUUGGAGGCUCAUCUAAGCAAUCAUGUGUAGGGAAGGUUGCUCUUCUCUCCAAAACCAUCCAGAACAUGCUCGUGCUUCUGAAAGAGAAGUUCCAGAUGUGUCUCUCCUGCAAAUAAUACAUCAUGUGAGGCAAGUGAUGAUGUUCGUCACGUGGACAAAAGAACAACUUACCUGGUCCCCGAGCUGUUCCCCAAACCCAUCCACUAGUCAUUGUAAGAGAUGCAGUGUGUGUGAUGCCUGGGAUAUUUGAGAGCUCUUUAAGCAUAGCAAUACCCACUAACUCAGAUGCCAGACUUCUAGUAACUUAACCAACAUUCAGUCCUGAAAUUAGAUACAAAUGAGAAGGGCUUGAUUUAGGUAGGAAUGGCUUUCAAAAAGCUCCCCCACACUCACAUACAUUUUAGCACUCAAAGGGCUCUAACUUGUUACAGGUUUCUAAUAAACCCUCAUAUGGGCUCCAGCCUAUAACAGACAAUUAGAAAGAUGCCAUACAGAGUUUUUGUCGUGGCACAGAAGAAACGAAUCUGACCAGGAACCAUGAGGUUGCGGGUUUGAUCCCUGGCCUCCUCAGUGGGUUGAGGAUCCAGUGUGACCAUGAGCUGUGGUGUAGGUUGCAGACGUGGCUCAGAUGUGGCAUUGCUGUGUGCUGUGGCAGCUACAGCUCCGAUUAGACCCCUAGCCUGGGAACCUCCAUAUGCCAGGAGUGCGGCCCUAAAAACAAACAAACAAACAAGCUGCCAUAUACUGCUUGGCCCAGGGAGGGUGAUGAGGUAGAUCACUUGCUGGUUCAGAGAAGGAUCCAUAUUCAAAGAAGCAGGAACCCUGCUCUGCACAACAAUCCCACAGGCGACCAGCAGUAAAGAAAGAAGCAAGUGACAGCCUCGAGUAGGGAAACUCUGCAAUUUCUGUUAACACUGGCAGAAGAGAGAACCAGUAGGUGAAGGAGUGAGGUAGAUGCCAUCCUGGCUGCAUCCCACAGGUCCUGGAACAGCAGCUCUGACUCAGAAAGUGAGAUCCAUUUCCUGCGAGGCUGUGGUCUAGAAUGGAAUUAUCAGGAAAGACAAGCCACCAAGGAAGACAAAGGCAGAUUGCCCUCCACGUACAACAAACAGGAGCUUCCCCCAAGGCCAUUUAACGUUUUCUCGGCAGAGGGAUGCAAGCCAGUCCACAUCUCCAUGACCAUGAACUGGAACGAUAUCUCUGCACUUGGAUGACAGUAGCUGCAUAGUAGGUCUACACACAGCAGUCAGAGCGGGGGACCAGGGCUUCCUUUUGGUUACUCAGGUCUCUGGAUUCUUAGAACCUCUGUGGUAUGUCUGAGUACUCCUCUUAGACGGCGUGAGCCUCCGUCCCCGGCCAUGGGUAAGAGAUCCGGACAUUCCAUUUGUUUAUUUUUGUUGCUGUUGGCAACAAAGAUAGUCUGAAUCUUGGCAAAGGCAGGCUGCCCAGAGCCCCAGGGGGAUAGAGUUGAGCACUGAGAGAAAAAGAGAAACAGACAACUGUGCGUCUGUGCUCAGCCCAGGGAAUGCGAUUCUAACUUCAGAGCUUGGGACCAGAGCUCCUUAAAAUUCUACAUUUUAGGUUCAGGUAGUCCACGGCUGCCUAAUUCAGACACCUCCAGGUGGGAGAAACCUCUGCUACCAAUUCAAGGAAAAACUGAGUUUCCCUCAAAAAAUGGUUUCUUCUUUUCUACUGUCUCCCCAACCCCUCUUCCUGUUGUGUUAUAGCAACUGAGAAUCACAUAAGCGACAAGGUCUCCUGCUUUGUUUUGGCCACUGCGAAGCUUAAGUAAAAAUCUGGCCAAUGUUCAGUGUGCAACGCUCAUACAGUGACUGCCGCUUUUGUCUGAGUACCAUCCCUUUUCCUUACACGAAAACAGACCCACCCAAGAAUAGAGGCUUCAGAAUGAGACUGGUUUGAUUAACAUACAAAUCCCCCUAGCAGAGUUCCCCUUGUUGCUCAGAGGGUUAAGGACCCCAUGUUAUCUGAGGAUGAGAGUUCCAUGCCUGGCCUCACUCAGUGCGCUAAGGAUUUGGUGUUGCUGUGGCUGUGGCAUAGGCUGGCAACUAUAUCUCUGAUUU
RNAcentral lists this long non-coding RNA (5709 nucleotides) under Sus scrofa (pig). RNAcentral describes it as "lncRNA (ENSSSCG00000051758.1)". Lineage: Eukaryota; Metazoa; Chordata; Mammalia; Artiodactyla; Suidae. The record is from RNAcentral.